Long non-coding RNA from Ruditapes philippinarum (Manila clam), 912 nucleotides. RefSeq lists it as uncharacterized. The record is from RefSeq and is a predicted model, not a curated record. The transcript is spliced from 5 exons. NCBI's taxonomy places the organism in Eukaryota, Metazoa, Mollusca, Bivalvia, Venerida, Veneridae.
UAUAUUUCAGUUGGUGUAUGUAUCAUUUCAACACAAAGGUAUAUCACAAGUAAGAAAAAAAAACAGAUUCCUUGAACAUCUCUUUCACUGCCAAAACUUUAAGGAAUAGAAAGCCAGUGUCAGUAGGAAAGGUUUUAUACAUUCACGGGUGGAAGCGUUUACAUUUUGUUUGUGGUCAGAGAAGGCCCAAAUAGGAAAUUUAGUGUAGAGUGCUACCUUAAGCUUCUACUCGGAGGAUUCACCCUCAAUUUUGUAUCACGCAUGUGUUCAACAUAGCCACGAUAGUGGAUAUUAUGACGUAGCACCGCAGUCUUGGAUCUACACUCUGUGGACAGUACAGAAUAUAUCUUUCUGCUUUGGAUAAGUCACAUCUAGAGAUGGUGACGUAGAGACCCCACAUCCACAGUCCUGGAUCUACACUCUGUGGACAGUACAGAAUAUAUCUUUCUGCUUUGGACAAGUCACAUCUAGAGAUUGUGACGUAGAGACCCCAUAUCCACAGUCCUGGAUAUACAUUCUGUGGACAGUACAGAAUCGAUCUUUCUGCUUUGAAGUGUCACAUCUCAAGCAUCAGUGAAUAUUUGUUUGAGUUAUGCCACCGGGGAAAAGUGCUUUCAACAGGACAUAAGAAACGUGACAUCAUAGUCCAUAUUGUGACAGUCAAGUUUAAUAAUGAUUCACAGAAAAACAGACAAGUUGGGUUUCUGAUGUCUUCAUUUCUCCAGAUAAUUGGAUUCUUAAACUUAACAGCCAGAAAUGGAAAAUCCAUGUUGUUUUAAGGAAAGUAAAGCAACAAGAAAAUCAUCUACAAGAGCCUAUGAAACAAAACAAAAUUGUGACAGGCAUAUGUGCAAGGGAGGCAACUUUAAUUCAGAUUUUUUGACCAGCUUGUCAACAAAGUAACUGAAAAAG